CCGACGGUAGCUCAGUUGGUAGAGCGGAGGACUGUAGCGGCUGAGCCAAAGUUAUCCUUAGGUCACCAGUUCAAAUCUGGUUCGUCGGA
RNAcentral lists this transfer RNA (89 nucleotides) under Mnemiopsis leidyi (sea walnut). Its description in RNAcentral is "tRNA-Tyr for anticodon GUA". It matches the Rfam family "tRNA". From Rfam's summary of the family: Transfer RNA (tRNA) molecules are approximately 80 nucleotides in length. Their secondary structure includes four short double-helical elements and three loops (D, anti-codon, and T loops). Further hydrogen bonds mediate the characteristic L-shaped molecular structure. tRNAs have two regions of fundamental functional importance: the anti-codon, which is responsible for specific mRNA codon recognition, and the 3' end, to which the tRNAs corresponding amino acid is attached (by aminoacyl-tRNA synthetases). tRNAs cope with the degeneracy of the genetic code in two manners: having more than one tRNA (with a specific anti-codon) for a particular amino acid; and 'wobble' base-pairing, i.e. permitting non-standard base-pairing at the 3rd anti-codon position. Lineage: Eukaryota; Metazoa; Ctenophora; Tentaculata; Lobata; Bolinopsidae. The record is from RNAcentral.